This 247-nucleotide unclassified non-coding RNA is filed under the name fungal sp. RNAcentral's name for it is "partial internal transcribed spacer region". The stretch from base 1 to 46 matches the Rfam family "Eukaryotic small subunit ribosomal RNA", at positions 1786 to 1831 of the family's 1831-position model. The record is from RNAcentral. Lineage: Eukaryota; Fungi.
AAGUCGUAACAAGGUCUCCGUUGGUGAACCAGCGGAGGGAUCAUUAAAGAGUUGCAAAACUCCCUUUAAACCAUCGCGAACGUUACCCACGACGCCGUUGCCUCGGCGGAGCGUCGCCCCGUGCUUUUGACGGCACGGGGCGGCGCCCGCCGGGAGACCGGCACAACCAAACUCUUAUAACCAUUGGCCUCUCUGAGUAAGAUUUUUAAAUAAGUCAAAACUUUCAACAACGGAUCUCUUGGUUCUG